CGUAGGGUGCGAGCGUUAAUCGGAAUUACUGGGCGUAAAGCGUGCGCAGGCGGUUUGUUAAGACAGAUGUGAAAUCCCCGGGCUUAACCUGGGAACUGCGUUUGUUACUGGCAAGCUAGAGUGUGUCAGAGGGAGGUAGAAUUCCACGUGUAGCAGUGAAAUGCGUAGAGAUGUGGAGGAAUACCGAUGGCGAAGGCAGCCUCCUGGGAUAACACUGACGCUCAUGCACGAAAGCGUGGGGAGCAAACAGGAUUAGAUACCCUGGUAGUCCACGCCCUAAACGAUGUCAACUAGUUGUUGGGUGACUUGAUCACUUAGUAACGUAGCUAACGCGUGAAGUUGACCGCCUGGGGAGUACGGUCGCAAGAUUA
RNAcentral lists this ribosomal RNA (371 nucleotides) under uncultured organism. RNAcentral's name for it is "bacterial SSU rRNA". It matches the Rfam family "Bacterial small subunit ribosomal RNA", at positions 526 to 896 of the family's 1533-position model. The record is from RNAcentral.